CCUGGCGGUCAUAGCGGAGGUGCCCCACCCGAAUCCAUUCCGAACUCGGCAGUGAAACCCUCCAGCGCCGAUGUUACUGCGGGUUUUCCCGUGGGAAAGUAGGUCGCUGCCAGGA
RNAcentral lists this ribosomal RNA (115 nucleotides) under Desulfomicrobiaceae bacterium. The record is from RNAcentral. Lineage: Bacteria; Pseudomonadati; Thermodesulfobacteriota; Desulfovibrionia; Desulfovibrionales; Desulfomicrobiaceae.